GAUGAACGCUGGCGGCGUGCCUAAUACAUGCAAGUCGAACGAAUGGAUUAAGAGCUUGCUCUUAUGAAGUUAGCGGCGGACGGGUGAGUAACACGUGGGUAACCUGCCCAUAAGACUGGGAUAACUCCGGGAAACCGGGGCUAAUACCGGAUAACAUUUUGAACCGCAUGGUUCGAAAUUGAAAGGCGGCUUCGGCUGUCACUUAUGGAUGGACCCGCGUCGCAUUAGCUAGUUGGUGAGGUAACGGCUCACCAAGGCAACGAUGCGUAGCCGACCUGAGAGGGUGAUCGGCCACACUGGGACUGAGACACGGCCCAGACCCCUACGGGAGGCAGCAGUAGGGAAUCUUCCGCAAUGGACGAAAGUCUGACGGAGCAACGCCGCGUGAGUGAUGAAGGCUUUCGGGUCGUAAAACUCUGUUGUUAGGGAAGAACAAGUGCUAGUUGAAUAAGCUGGCACCUUGAUGGUACCUAACCAGAAAGCCACGGCUAACUACGUGCCAGCAGCCGCGGUAA
This 515-nucleotide ribosomal RNA is filed under the name uncultured bacterium. RNAcentral's name for it is "partial 16S ribosomal RNA". It matches the Rfam family "Bacterial small subunit ribosomal RNA", at positions 28 to 523 of the family's 1533-position model. The record is from RNAcentral.